RNAcentral lists this ribosomal RNA (468 nucleotides) under uncultured bacterium. RNAcentral's name for it is "partial 16S ribosomal RNA". It matches the Rfam family "Bacterial small subunit ribosomal RNA", at positions 28 to 507 of the family's 1533-position model. The record is from RNAcentral.
GACGAACGCUGGCGGCGUGCUUAACACAUGCAAGUCGAACGGAAAGGCCCUGAUUUUGUGGUGUUCUCGAGUGGCGAACGGGUGCGUAACACGUGAGUAACCUGCCCUUGACUUUGGGAUAACUUCAGGAAACUGGGGCUACUACCGGAUAGGAGAUCCUGCUGCAUGGUGGGGGUUGGAAAUUUUAGGCGGGUGGGGAUGGAUGCGCGGCUUAACGGCUGGCUAGUGGGGGAGGGGCUUACCAAGGCUGUGGCUGGUAGCCGGCCCGAGAGGGUGGACGGCGUCAAUGCUACUGAGGGACGGAGCAGACGCGUACGGUGGGCAGCAGUGGGGAGUCUUGCCCAAUGGGAGCACGUCUGAUGCAGAGACGUUGCGUUCGUGAUGCCGGCUUGCGGGUUGUAAACCGCUUUCGCCUGUGACGAAGCGUGAGUGACGGUAAUCAGUAAAGAAGCACCGGCUAACUACGUG